RNAcentral lists this ribosomal RNA (409 nucleotides) under uncultured Lachnospiraceae bacterium. RNAcentral describes it as "bacterial SSU rRNA". It matches the Rfam family "Bacterial small subunit ribosomal RNA", at positions 355 to 780 of the family's 1533-position model. The record is from RNAcentral. Lineage: Bacteria; Bacillati; Bacillota; Clostridia; Lachnospirales; Lachnospiraceae.
UGGGGAAUAUUGCACAAUGGAGGAAACUCUGAUGCAGCGACGCCGCGUGAGCGAUGAAGUAUUUCGGUAUGUAAAGCUCUAUCAGCAGGGAAGAUAAUGACGGUACCUGAGUAAGAAGCUCCGGCUAAAUACGUGCCAGCAGCCGCGGUAAUACGUAUGGAGCAAGCGUUAUCCGGAUUUACUGGGUGUAAAGGGAGUGUAGGCGGCUUUGCAAGUCAGAUGUGAAAGCCCGGGGCUCAACCCCGGGACUGCAUUUGAAACUGUCGUACUAGAGUGUCGGAGGGGUAAGCGGAAUUCCUAGUGUAGCGGUGAAAUGCGUAGAUAUUAGGAGGAACACCAGUGGCGAAGGCGGCUUACUGGACGAUAACUGACGCUGAGGCUCGAAAGCGUGGGGAGCAAACAGGGAUUA